Molecule: ribosomal RNA, 425 nt
Filed under: Rhodococcus sp. R-41776
Lineage: Bacteria; Bacillati; Actinomycetota; Actinomycetes; Mycobacteriales; Nocardiaceae
Description: bacterial SSU rRNA
Rfam family: Bacterial small subunit ribosomal RNA
Source: RNAcentral
GACGAACGCUGGCGGCGUGCUUAACACAUGCAAGUCGAACGGUAAGGCCCCUUCGGGGGUACACGAGUGGCGAACGGGUGAGUAACACGUGGGUGAUCUGCCCUGCACUCUGGGAUAAGCCUGGGAAACUGGGUCUAAUACCGGAUAUGACCUUGAACUGCAUGGUUCUUGGUGGAAAGGUUUACUGGUGCAGGAUGGGCCCGCGGCCUAUCAGCUUGUUGGUGGGGUAAUGGCCUACCAAGGCGACGACGGGUAGCCGGCCUGAGAGGGCGACCGGCCACACUGGGACUGAGACACGGCCCAGACUCCUACGGGAGGCAGCAGUGGGGAAUAUUGCACAAUGGGCGAAAGCCUGAUGCAGCGACGCCGCGUGAGGGAUGAAGGCCUUCGGGUUGUAAACCUCUUUCAGCAGGGACGAAGCGAGA